GACGAACGCUGGCGGCGUGCUUUACACAUGCAAGUCGAACGGUGAAGGUGGAGCUUGCUCCGCCGGAUCAGUGGCGAACGGGUGAGUAACACGUGGGCAACCUGCCCCUAACUUUGGGAUAACUACUCGAAAGAGUAGCUAAUACCGGAUAUGAAGUCUGUAGGCAUCUAUGGAUUUGGAAAGUUUUUCGGUUAGGGAUGGGCCCGCGGCCUAUCAGCUUGUUGGUGAGGUAGUGGCUUACCAAGGCGACGACGGGUAGCCGGCCUGAGAGGGCGACCGGCCACAGUGGGACUGAGACACGGCCCAGACUCCUACGGGAGGCAGCAGUGGGGAAUAUUGCGCAAUGGGCGAAAGCCUGACGCAGCAACGCCGCGUGCGGGAUGAAGGCCUUCGGGUUGUAAACCGCUUUCAGCAGGGAAGAAGCGAAAGUGACGGUACCUGCAGAAGAAGCACCGGCUAACUACGUGCCAGCCGCCGCAGUAA
RNAcentral lists this ribosomal RNA (483 nucleotides) under uncultured bacterium. Its description in RNAcentral is "partial 16S ribosomal RNA". It matches the Rfam family "Bacterial small subunit ribosomal RNA", at positions 28 to 523 of the family's 1533-position model. The record is from RNAcentral.